AGAAUCAACGCUGGCGGCGUGCCUAACACAUGCAAGUCGCACGAGAAAGGGACUUCGGUCCUGAGUACAGUGGCGCACGGGUGAGUAACACGUGAAUCAUCUACCUCCGAGUGGGGAAUAACCUAGAGAAAUCUGGGCUAAUACCGCAUAACACUUACGAGUCAAAGCAGCAAUGCGCUUGGAGAGGAGUUCGCGGCAGAUUAGUAGUUGGCGGGGUAAUGGCCCACCAAGACGAUGAUCUGUAUCCGGCCUGAGAGGGCGCACGGACACACUGGAACUGAAACACGGUCCAGACUCCUACGGGAGGCAGCAGUGGGGAAUUUUGCGCAAUGGGGGAAACCCUGACGCAGCAACGCCGCGUGGAGGAUGAAAUAUCUUGGUAUGUAAACUCCUUUCGAUGGGGAAGAUAAUGACGGUACCAUAGAAGAAGCCCCGGAUAACUUCGUGCCAGCAGCCGC
RNAcentral lists this ribosomal RNA (458 nucleotides) under uncultured bacterium. RNAcentral's name for it is "SSU rRNA". It matches the Rfam family "Bacterial small subunit ribosomal RNA", at positions 26 to 518 of the family's 1533-position model. The record is from RNAcentral.